RNAcentral lists this transfer-messenger RNA (355 nucleotides) under Peptoniphilaceae. Its description in RNAcentral is "Anaerococcus sp900551095 Standard tmRNA". It matches the Rfam family "transfer-messenger RNA". Rfam says of the family: Bacterial tmRNA, also known as 10Sa RNA or SsrA, is named for its dual tRNA and mRNA-like properties. Its role is to liberate the mRNA from a stalled ribosome. The record is from RNAcentral. Lineage: Bacteria; Bacillati; Bacillota; Tissierellia; Tissierellales. RNAcentral also lists the same sequence under 1 other name.
GGGGAUGCCAUGGUUUCGACGUGAUUGAAGAGGCUUUGGCUGCAAGUCGUAUAUCAAAACGUAAAUUGAUAAUUAAAUAUAAACGCAAACGAAAACAGCGAAGCAAACUUCGCACUAGCAGCCUAGUAAUAGGUUAGCAAUGAAUAUUAGGUUCGUCGCAAAUUUAAUAUUCGUUUUAUAAUUAAGCGACAACUAAUAUAUCAAAGCUUUGAGAUAUAUUGAGUAACAUGAAGCUAGCAGAAAAAACUUUUUGUAAGUUUUUGAUUUUUAUGUGAAACUUUAAAACUUAAUAAACUUGUAGAUGCCUUUGGUGAUGCUUUCACGGACAAGGGUUCGACUCCCUUCAUCUCCACCA